ACGCACGCUGGCGGCGUGCUUCACACAUGCAAGUCGAACGGAAAGGCCCUGCUUUUGUGGGGUGCUCGAGUGGCGAACGGGUGAGUAACACGUGAGUAACCUGCCCUUGACUUUGGGAUAACUUCAGGAAACUGGGGCUAAUACCGGAUAGGAGCUCCUGCUGCAUGGUGGGAGUUGGAAAGUUUCGGCGGUUGGGGAUGGACUCGCGGCUUAUCAGCUUGUUGGUGGGGUAGUGGCUUACCAAGGCUUUGACGGGUAGCCGGCCUGAGAGGGUGACCGGCCACAUUGGGACUGAGAUACGGCCCAGACUCCUACGGGAGGCAGCAGUGGGGAAUAUUGCACAAUGGGCGGAAGCCUGAUGCAGCAACGCCGCGUGCGGGAUGACGGCCUUCGGGUUGUAAACCGCUUUCGCCUGUGACGAAGCGUGAGUGACGGUAAUGGGUAAAGAAGCACCGGCUAACUACGUG
Molecule: ribosomal RNA, 467 nt
Filed under: uncultured bacterium
Lineage: Bacteria
Description: partial 16S ribosomal RNA
Rfam family: Bacterial small subunit ribosomal RNA
Source: RNAcentral